Molecule: long non-coding RNA, 392 nt
Organism: Paramormyrops kingsleyae
Lineage: Eukaryota; Metazoa; Chordata; Actinopteri; Osteoglossiformes; Mormyridae
Source: RefSeq, a predicted model, not a curated record
CAUAGCUCAAAUGGCUGUAGGUCUCUGAAGAGUGUUUUGGCAACCGCUGAACCACUAGACUGCAAGUACUUAACUGAAAAUAGCCGUGUAGACUCCCUGCUUCUUCAGCUUCAGCGGUUUCAGCUUGCCUUGGUGCAACUGAAGCAUGAUAUAAUCUUCUUCAAGUGCUGAGACGAUGAGUGCAAUGAUGGCUGUGUCAAUCGCCGGGCAGGGAUUCAGCUCGGUUGUGAUUCUCUCAAAAUGGACUUGCUCUGGUGGGAAUGCUGAACAGAGAGGGAUGGAAGGUGUGGCAUGUGGAUCAACAGGUCAGGGCACCGUGCCUGUGAUUGGAAGGUCAUCAGUUCAAAUCCUGGAGUCAGCUGAGUGACCUGAUCCCCAAUUGCUUCAGGGAG